GCCCGGAUGGUGGAAUCGGUAGACACGCAGGACUUAAAAUCCUGUGACCUGUAAAGGUUGUGCGGGUUCAAGUCCCGCUCCGGGUA
RNAcentral lists this transfer RNA (86 nucleotides) under Bacteroidales bacterium. RNAcentral's name for it is "tRNA-Leu". It matches the Rfam family "tRNA". From Rfam's summary of the family: Transfer RNA (tRNA) molecules are approximately 80 nucleotides in length. Their secondary structure includes four short double-helical elements and three loops (D, anti-codon, and T loops). Further hydrogen bonds mediate the characteristic L-shaped molecular structure. tRNAs have two regions of fundamental functional importance: the anti-codon, which is responsible for specific mRNA codon recognition, and the 3' end, to which the tRNAs corresponding amino acid is attached (by aminoacyl-tRNA synthetases). tRNAs cope with the degeneracy of the genetic code in two manners: having more than one tRNA (with a specific anti-codon) for a particular amino acid; and 'wobble' base-pairing, i.e. permitting non-standard base-pairing at the 3rd anti-codon position. Lineage: Bacteria; Pseudomonadati; Bacteroidota; Bacteroidia; Bacteroidales. The record is from RNAcentral.